Molecule: ribosomal RNA, 490 nt
Filed under: uncultured bacterium
Lineage: Bacteria
Description: bacterial SSU rRNA
Rfam family: Bacterial small subunit ribosomal RNA
Source: RNAcentral
GAUGAACGCUAGCUACAGGCUUAACACAUGCAAGUCGAGGGGCAGCAUUUUAGUUUGCUUGCAAACUGAAGAUGGCGACCGGCGCACGGGUGAGUAACACGUAUCCAACCUGCCGAUAACUCCGGGAUAGCCUUUCGAAAGAAAGAUUAAUACCGGAUAGUAUACGAAUAUCGCAUGAUAUUUUUAUUAAAGAAUUCGGUUAUCGAUGGGGAUGCGUUCCAUUAGUUUGUUGGCGGGGUAACGGCCCACCAAGACUACGAUGGAUAGGGGUUCUGAGAGGAAGGUCCCCCACAUUGGAACUGAGACACGGUCCAAACUCCUACGGGAGGCAGCAGUGAGGAAUAUUGGUCAAUGGGCGCGAGCCUGAACCAGCCAAGUAGCGUGAAGGAUGAAGGCUCUAUGGGUCGUAAACUUCUUUUAUAUGGGAAUAAAGUUUUCCACGUGUGGAAUUUUGUAUGUACCAUAUGAAUAAGGAUCGGCUAACUCCGUG